This 362-nucleotide long non-coding RNA is filed under the name Mytilus galloprovincialis (Mediterranean mussel). The record is from RNAcentral. Lineage: Eukaryota; Metazoa; Mollusca; Bivalvia; Mytilida; Mytilidae.
UACCAGAUUUUUUUUUGUGGCAAACAACGGUAAAUAGCCUAUAUCAUCUUGACAUGACAUAUGAAAACCCCUUAAGCAUAAUGGUGUGUGUAUGGAAUAGUCCAUGGAAUUGUCCAAACCGAUACAGGUGAAAUACGUAGAAUAAUAUUGCUGUGUCUAUUGUGGACACAGCAAUAAAAUCAGAUUUAAGAUCCUUAUGAGCCCGUAGUAAAGUAAAAAAAACUGUAAAAAGCCUUAUUAAAUAUAAUUUGCUCGAUUAACCUUGAAGUGAAGACUAAUAAAAAUUUGCGUGUAUAGUGAACCCCCUAAAUAAAAUAAUACUGUGUUCUAGACCACUUCCCCUUUCGGUGAUCUACAGAAAU